AAGGAUCAUUACUGAGAUAGGGUCCUUCGGGGCCCGACCUCCAACCCAAUGUUUAUUAUACCUCUGUUGCCUCGGCGGGUCGCCGGCGUGCCUUUACGGGCCGCCGCUGUCGGCCCCCUAACAAGGGCUCUCGUGUGCCCGCCGCAGGACCUAUUAAACUCUUUUUAAACAAGUAUUCUGAGUGGGAAUUAAAUAACUUCAAAACUUUCAACAACGGAUCUCUUGGUUCUGGCAUCGAUGAAGAACGCAGCGAAAUGCGAUAAGUAAUGUGAAUUGCAGAAUUCAGUGAAUCAUCGAAUCUUUGAACGCACAUUGCGCUCCCUGGUAUUCCGGGGAGCAUGCCUGUUCGAGCGUCAUUAUCAACCAUCAAGCACUGCUUGGCAUUGGACGCCGUCCCCCGUGGACGCGUCUUAAACCCUUUGGCGGCGGUUACAUACCUCAAGCGUAGUAGAAAUUCUUAGCUUUCUAGGUUGUGGCUGCUUUGCCUCGAGAACAUCUCACCUCAAGGUUGACCUCGGAUCAGGUAGGGAUACCCGCUGAACUUAA
This 546-nucleotide ribosomal RNA is filed under the name uncultured fungus. Its description in RNAcentral is "eukaryotic LSU rRNA". The stretch from base 203 to 356 matches the Rfam family "5.8S ribosomal RNA". The record is from RNAcentral. Lineage: Eukaryota; Fungi.